This is a non-coding RNA of Elaeis guineensis (African oil palm), 347 nucleotides long. NCBI's taxonomy places the organism in Eukaryota, Viridiplantae, Streptophyta, Magnoliopsida, Arecales, Arecaceae. The record is from RefSeq and is a predicted model, not a curated record.
ACUUUUGGUGCCCUCACGCUUUCAGCGCAUGAAAAAUCUGGUUGGGUUGUCAAUAUCUAACAAUAGGUUGUAAGCUUGAUGUCAUAAAAAUUUAUACAAGAUGAUAAUGAAGGAGAUGGAAUGUGUGUCUCUUGUAGUUCAUAUAUCUCCUACUUGGCAUGGGACUUGAUCUUGCUGACAGAGAUUGUUGCUUCACUCUUGAGAUGGCUAAGACAUAUGGCAGUUUGGCUGCGGCGAAAUACUUAUGUCAUAUAUGUGUUCUGGUUUUUGGUUCGUCUGAUCUACUACUUAGAUCUUGACAUAUAUGAUUUUAUCUUUCAUGGAAUGCUUAUAUACAUUUGAUGUUA